CUGCCUCUUUCCGGACCGCCGCCGCCUCUGUGGAUGUGGUCUGCAGGGAUUCCCUGGCGGGAAGAGCGUGAGGCUUUCUCUAUCCCGAGUUCCACAGGAGGAAGGCAUGUGCCUUCCCUAGUCCCGCUUCAGCCACUUGAAGGACAUUGCCUUGACAGCGUAAUGUGAUACUGCAAGCAUCAGGACAGUUUUGUAGCUGAAAUUCCCGUAAGGCCUCUGCAUAAACUCAAGAUUCUAGCAGGUGUUCAAGAAAACCCCAAUCCAGUCAUGGUGAACUGAGAGUAAACAGGGGAAAGAAGAAUUGGAAUCUGAUUGUAACCAAGAAAGUCCACCUGUGGUGGGGUGACCACGUGUCCUGCUCCAAGCAAGUCUUACAACCAAAGAUAUUUAUUAUAAAAUGAAAUUAAAUCUGUCUAUGGUAAAAGCACUUAAAAUUGCUGUUUAAAAACUAUCUUAACCUAGAUUUAAUGCACUAUUUAUCAAGCAUUUGUGUCAACAUUGUAUUAAAUAGAAAAGAAAUGCUAUCUAUCCUUGGUGUAGUCGUCUUCAAGGCAAAUACAAUCUCAAAUUUAUACUGCAAACAACAUGAAACAGAUUAAAUUCAAAAUGAUUAGCAUGAACUUGAGGAACUAGAUAUUUAGCCAUAGAACUUGAAUUAAAAAAAUACAUAUAUAUAGAAAUCUCAAUUCUAAGAGAGAGGUAGCAUCUGAUAAAUAUAGUUUAUUGAAUUGUUUUACAAACAGGACAAGACAUAAUAAGUUUUGUGGCAUUUAUAUAAGAACGUAUUGAGGGAAAGACUCGUUAUUUUUAGGAAGAGUAUGGAUAUUUGACAGAAAAGGACAGAGUCUGGAAAAAAAAGGAGCUGGAGAAUGGAGUUACGCCAGGAUCCAUGAAACCAGGGACACUCAUCUAAGUUUGCUCAAAGUAAAAGAAACAGUUACAACUGUAGCCUACGUAGCAAAAGAAAUAAAAAGGUCAAGAUAUUUAUCAACAUCAUGGGGAUUGGGCAUCCUGGCAUUUAUUAGAUGAAGAAUGUUAGAAAUCCCCAUUACCGAGUGAAACAAAGGGCAAUUCCAGAACAGGUAAAUUGAAAGCUACCCUGGAAAGCUGUAAAUAUCCCAAACAAGUGAAACAAUAGGGAAAAGUGCUUGCUGCAGUCUAUGUCUCUUCAGCUUAUCUUUUGGAACAUCUCUAUGUGCCAAGCUUUCUGCCCUCAAAGACUUUAAAAUCUAGCAGAGGGGACUGAAGCAUUCACAGAAGGUAAGUCCAAGAAAAUGUGACUAGUGCCACAAUAGUGGCAUGAUGCAGAUGCUUUAGGAGCCCAGAGGAAGGGUGCUAAGACUGGGUUGGUGUGCCAAGGAAAGCCUUAAGGGAAGAUGGCACCAGUUUGAAGAAUAAGUAGGACUCUGCCAGG
Lutra lutra (Eurasian river otter) is the source of this 1414-nucleotide long non-coding RNA. RefSeq lists it as uncharacterized. Lineage: Eukaryota; Metazoa; Chordata; Mammalia; Carnivora; Mustelidae. The transcript has 4 exons. The record is from RefSeq and is a predicted model, not a curated record.